GGGCGGCCGGCGGUGGGCCGAGGGGGCGUUCGCUGCGCGGCGGGACGGCGCUUGGCCGUCUGCAGCCCUUUCCGAGCGAGAAGCGGCAGUUUGGGACACCUGCGCGGCUGCAGGCGGCUUUUCCUCCUGGAGCCGGUGCCCAGCUGGGUUUCCUCAGGUGGAGGGGCCCAGGGGAGCGCUGGGACCCGCCGAGCACCAUCCUGUGAGGCGGGGACGGGGCACUCCCCCGGGCGGCCUUUAAAGCACCGCUGUUCUGUUGGCUGCUGACCUUUCAUAGGUUAAGUAUACCAUUAAACCGUUCCUAAUCGUAGCCGAUUCACUUUUCGUAAAGUCACGCACGAUUAUCGUGGGAAAAAAAAGUUCAGGUGAUACGCUUUGCUUAAUGUGCCAUUUAUCCAGAUGUUAGGUAGAGGCAGGUACGAAGAAUACCUGUAGAAGUAAAAAUGUUAACUAUUCCUACAGUAAUAAAUACGGGAGCUGUUCUCUGCAACAGAGAGCAAGUGGCAGCCUACCAGACACACGGGAAACAAAUUUGACGUAAACGAUGAUUGCCUGCAGGAAAGACAAGCAAAGGCAAAUCAAGCAAGCAACUAGGAGGAAAAAAAAAAACAACAAACAACCAAUGCUUGAUAUUUUAUUAAAAAAAACCCAAAGCAACAAACUACCAUUAACUGUAAGUAUGACCUUUAAGGGCUAAAUUACAUUCACUAAAUAUAAGCAUCUAUGGAUACUAAGCUAUUCAUAAACAUUCUUAUGAAUUAUUUAGCUGUCUUUGGCAGAGCAAUAAUAAUCUAUAAGCAUUUUGUGUCUUCUUCCUUGAACAAAUAAAAAUGUACUUACAAGCCAUCUUGGAUUAACGUGGAGAGCUUUUUAGCCAAAGUGGUGACAGUGUUACAAAACACAUGGAACUAGGCAUC
This is a long non-coding RNA of Aquila chrysaetos chrysaetos, 917 nucleotides long. RefSeq lists it as uncharacterized. The record is from RefSeq and is a predicted model, not a curated record. NCBI's taxonomy places the organism in Eukaryota, Metazoa, Chordata, Aves, Accipitriformes, Accipitridae. The transcript has 2 exons.